This 301-nucleotide ribosomal RNA is filed under the name uncultured bacterium. RNAcentral's name for it is "partial 16S ribosomal RNA". It matches the Rfam family "Archaeal small subunit ribosomal RNA", at positions 459 to 759 of the family's 1478-position model. The record is from RNAcentral.
CAGCAGCCGCGGUAACACCAGCAGCCCAAGUGGUGGUCGCGAUUAUUGGGCCUAAAGCGCUCGUAGCCGGGCCAGUAAGUCCCUUGUGAAAUCGGACGGCCUAACCGUUCGGCGUGCAAGGGAUACUGUCGGUCUUGAGGCCGGGAGACGUCCGAGGUACUCCGGGAGUAGCGGUGAAAUGUUCUGAUCCUCGGGGGACCACCGGUGGCGAAGGCGUUCGACGAGAACGGGCCUGACGGUGAGGGGCGAAGGCUAGGGGAGCAAACAGGAUUAGAUACCCCGGUAGUCCCUGUCUCUUAUU